RNAcentral lists this ribosomal RNA (492 nucleotides) under uncultured bacterium. RNAcentral's name for it is "partial 16S ribosomal RNA". It matches the Rfam family "Bacterial small subunit ribosomal RNA", at positions 29 to 507 of the family's 1533-position model. The record is from RNAcentral.
AGUGAACGCUGGCGGUAGGCCUAACACAUGCAAGUCGAACGGCAGCACAGUAAGAGCUUGCUCUUACGGGUGGCGAGUGGCGGACGGGUGAGGAAUACAUCGGAAUCUACUUUUUCGUGGGGGAUAACGUAGGGAAACUUACGCUAAUACCGCAUACGACCUACGGGUGAAAGCAGGGGAUCUUCGGACCUUGCGCGAUUGAAUGAGCCGAUGUCGGAUUAGCUAGUUGGCGGGGUAAAGGCCCACCAAGGCGACGAUCCGUAGCUGGUCUGAGAGGAUGGACAGCCAACACUGAACUGAGAAAAGGUCCCGAAUCCUAAGGGAGGCCGCAAGUGGGAAUAUUGGACAAUGGGCGCAAGCCUGAUCCAGUCAUACCGCGUGGGUGAAGAAGGCCUUCGGGUUGUAAAGCCCUUUUGUUGGGAAAGAAAAGCAGCAGGUUAAUACCCCGCUGUUCUGACGGUACCCAAAGAAUAAGCACCGGCUAACUUCGUG